This 1487-nucleotide ribosomal RNA is filed under the name uncultured organism. Its description in RNAcentral is "SSU rRNA". It matches the Rfam family "Bacterial small subunit ribosomal RNA". The record is from RNAcentral.
GAACGCUGGCGGCGUGCCUAAUACAUGCAAGUCGAACGAACUCUGGUAUUGAUUGGUGCUUGCAUCAUGAUUUACAUUUGAGUGAGUGGCGAACUGGUGAGUAACACGUGGGAAACCUGCCCAGAAGCGGGGGAUAACACCUGGAAACAGAUGCUAAUACCGCAUAACAACUUGGACCGCAUGGUCCGAGUUUGAAAAAUGGCUUCGGCUAUCACUUUUGGAUGGUCCCGCGGCGUAUUAGCUAGAUGGUGGGGUAACGGCUCACCAUGGCAAUGAUACGUAGCCGACCUGAGAGGGUAAUCGGCCACAUUGGGACUGAGACACGGCCCAAACUCCUACGGGAGGCAGCAGUAGGGAAUCUUCCACAAUGGACGAAAGUCUGAUGGAGCAACGCCGCGUGAGUGAAGAAGGGUUUCGGCUCGUAAAACUCUGUUGUUAAAGAAGAACAUAUCUGAGAGUAACUGUUCAGGUAUUGACGGUAUUUAACCAGAAAGCCACGGCUAACUACGUGCCAGCAGCCGCGGUAAUACGUAGGUGGCAAGCGUUGUCCGGAUUUAUUGGGCGUAAAGCGAGCGCAAGCGGUUUUUUAAGUCUGAUGUGAAAGCCUUCGGCUCAACCGAAGAAGUGCAUCGGAAACUGGGAAACUUGAGUGCAGAAGAGGACAGUGGAACUCCAUGUGUAGCGGUGAAAUGCGUAGAUAUAUGGAAGAACACCAGUGGCGAAAGGCGGCUGUCUGGUCUGUAACUGACGCUGAGGCUCGAAAGUAUGGGUAGCAAACAGGAUUAGAUACCCUGGUAGUCCAUACCGUAAACGAUGAAUGCUAAGUGUUGGAGGGUUUCCGCCCUUCAGUGCUGCAGCUAACGCAUUAAGCAUUCCGCCUGGGGAGUACGGCCGCAAGGCUGAAACUCAAAGGAAUUGACGGGGGCCCGCACAAGCGGUGGAGCAUGUGGUUUAAUUCGAAGCUACGCGAAGAACCUUACCAGGUCUUGACAUACUAUGCAAAUCUAAGAGAUUAGACGUUCCCUUCGGGGACAUGGAUACAGGUGGUGCAUGGUUGUCGUCAGCUCGUGUCGUGAGAUGUUGGGUUAAGUCCCGCAACGAGCGCAACCCUUAUUAUCAGUUGCCAGCAUUAAGUUGGGCACUCUGGUGAGACUGCCGGUGACAAACCGGAGGAAGGUGGGGAUGACGUCAAAUCAUCAUGCCCCUUAUGACCUGGGCUACACACGUGCUACAAUGGAUGGUACAACGAGUUGCGAACUCGCGAGGGUAAGUUAAUCUCUUAAAGCCAUUCUCAGUUCGGAUUGUAGGCUGCAACUCGCUUACAUGAAGUUGGAAUCGCUAGUAAUCGCGGAUCAGCAUGCCGCGGUGAAUACGUUCCCGGGCCUUGUACACACCGCCCGUCACACCAUGAGAGUUUGUAACACCCAAAGUCGGUGGGGUAACCUUUUAGGAACCAGCCGCCUAAGGUGGGACAGAUGAUUAGGGUG